This 919-nucleotide long non-coding RNA is filed under the name Equus caballus (horse). Its description in RNAcentral is "lncRNA (ENSECAG00000053812.1)". Lineage: Eukaryota; Metazoa; Chordata; Mammalia; Perissodactyla; Equidae. The record is from RNAcentral.
GAUAUGGCAGCUUUUAUUUUAGCCCUUAGGGACGAAAGCGGCAAUGUACUUGAUUGAAUUUUCUUUUCUUUUGAGAAUGUAGAAAGGCAAAGUAUCGCCUUAGGAAUCUUGCAGAUACUGAUUCAGAAGGUCUGGGUGGUGCCUGAGAUUCAGCCCAAUAUAGUAAGUGAUGCCCAUGCUGCUGGUCUAUGGACUGCAUUUGAAUGGCAAGGAAAUGAUGACAGCAUGCCUCUAUGCUGGAGGCAUGGCUAUCGCUGCUGCUGUUGAAACCAAGCAGCAUCUGCUGAGCUUGUAGUCCCACUGAAUACCACUGAAACUGCCAUAGAGUCUCUUGCAGCCCAGAGUUGACAGCUGCUGCUGCUGCAUGCAUCACCAGAGGCAGAAAAAUAAUAGCUUCUCUCUUCCUCCCAACUUCCCAGCCCUUCACAGAGCCAGCAGAGCCUCCUUUUGCACAAGGUAACCAAAGGAAGGUUGGCAAGAGAAUCUAGAAAAUUUGUAGACUUCUUGCUAUGAUAUUAGGAAGAGCAUGAAAAGGAAGAAAUGGAGCUGAGAGCUAAAAGGUGGGAGAUUAACAGGAGUGGUUGGCAGUGCAAUAUAGUAGUAAGUAUUGAGAAGAUUAAACAAGAACUUAUGGAGCCAGGAUGAUAGGGAUCCAGGAACCACCAAUAUUUGGAAAUUGGAGCAGACAGAUAUCUGUUCUGGAGAGGACGUGGGAUUGACUCACAGUAGCUUUAAGAUUCCCAGCAACAUUUUUAACACUGAAAUUCUGAUGUAACUGAUUCUAAGAAUUCACAUUAAAAUCUACGUCACUUUAUUCCUCAGUGAAAAUCUACAACAGCCUCUUGACACACCUAAGGUGCUCCUGUUUUUUUUGAAAAUAUGCCACAGAGUGUUUGCUGAAGUAUCAGGAAUAAUUAAA